UGGGGAAUAUUGCACAAUGGAGGGAACUCUGAUGCAGCGACGCCGCGUGAGUGAUGAAGGACUUCGUUUCGUAAAACUCUGUUCUAUGGGAAGAAAAGGACUGUACCAUAGGAGAAAGCUCCGGCUAAAUACGUGCUAGCAGCCGCGGUAAUACGUAUGGAGCGAGCGUUGUCCGGAAUUAUUGGGCGUAAAGGGUGCGCAGGCGGCUUUACAAGUUGGAUGUGAAAUAUUGUGGCUCAACCACAAACGUGCAUCCAAAACUGCAAAGCUUGAGUUAAGGAGAGGUAAGUGGAAUUCCUGGUGUAGCGGUGGAAUGCGUAGAUAUCAGGAGGAAUACCGGUGGCGAAGGCGACUUACUGGACUUAAACUGACGCUCAGGCACGAAAGCGUGGGGAGCAAACAGG
RNAcentral lists this ribosomal RNA (404 nucleotides) under Fusobacteriota bacterium. RNAcentral's name for it is "Fusobacteria bacterium partial 16S ribosomal RNA". It matches the Rfam family "Bacterial small subunit ribosomal RNA", at positions 355 to 776 of the family's 1533-position model. Lineage: Bacteria; Fusobacteriati; Fusobacteriota. The record is from RNAcentral.